This 483-nucleotide ribosomal RNA is filed under the name uncultured bacterium. Its description in RNAcentral is "partial 16S ribosomal RNA". It matches the Rfam family "Bacterial small subunit ribosomal RNA", at positions 28 to 523 of the family's 1533-position model. The record is from RNAcentral.
GACGAACGCUGGCGGCGUGCUUAACACAUGCAAGUCGAACGAUGAAGCUGGAGCUUGCUCCAGUGGAUGAGUGGCGAACGGGUGAGUAACUCGUGAGCAAUCUGCGCUUGACUCAGGGAUAACUGCGCGAAACCUUAGCGAAUACCGGGUACGACACCUGGGGGCAUCCCGGGGUGUGGAAAGAAUUUCGGUAAAGGAUGAGCGCGCGGCCGAUCAGCUUGUUGGUGAGGUAAAGGCUCACCAAGGCGACGACGGGUAGCCGGCCUGAGAGGGUGACCGGCCACACUGGAUCUGAGACACGGUCCAGACUCAUACGGGAGGCAGCAGUGGGGAAUAUUGCACAAUGGGAGAAAGCCUGAUGCAACAACGCCGCGUGAGGGAUGACGGCCUUCGGGUCGUAAACCUCUUUUAGCAGGGAAGAAGCGAAAGUGACGGUACCUGCAGAAAAAGCACCGGCUAACUACGUGCCAGCCGCCGCGGUAA